This 430-nucleotide ribosomal RNA is filed under the name uncultured bacterium. RNAcentral describes it as "partial 16S ribosomal RNA". It matches the Rfam family "Bacterial small subunit ribosomal RNA", at positions 29 to 507 of the family's 1533-position model. The record is from RNAcentral.
AACGAACGCUGGCGGCAGGCCUAACACAUGCAAGUCGAGCGCCCUUUCGGGGGAGCGGCGGACGGGUGAGUACCGCGUGGGAAUAUGCCCUUCUCUACGGAAUAGCCUCGGGAAACUGAGAGUAAUACCGUAUACGCCCUGUGGGGGAAAGAUUUAUCGGGGAAGGAUUAGCCCGCGUUGGAUUAGGUAGUUGGUGGGGUAAUGGCCUACCAAGCCGACGAUCCAUAGCUGGUUUGAGAGGAUGAUCAGCCACACUGGGACUGAGACACGGCCCAGACUCCACGGGAAGGAGGCGGGGGGAAUCUUAGACAAUGGGGGCAACCCUGAUCUAGCCAUGCCGCGUGAGUGAUGAAGGCCUUAGGGUUGUAAAGCUCUUUCAGCUGGGAAGAUAAUGACGGUACCAGCAGAAGAAGCCCCGGCUAACUCCGUG